GGGCGCAUGGUCUAGAGGUAUGAUAUUUGCUUUGCAUCCUGAUCCAUAUUCAGAAAUAUGCUUGCAAAGGGUCCGGGGUUCAAUUCCCCGUGCGUCCA
Molecule: transfer RNA, 98 nt
Filed under: Xylaria sp. FL0043
Lineage: Eukaryota; Fungi; Ascomycota; Sordariomycetes; Xylariales; Xylariaceae
Description: tRNA-Ala
Rfam family: tRNA
About the family: Transfer RNA (tRNA) molecules are approximately 80 nucleotides in length. Their secondary structure includes four short double-helical elements and three loops (D, anti-codon, and T loops). Further hydrogen bonds mediate the characteristic L-shaped molecular structure. tRNAs have two regions of fundamental functional importance: the anti-codon, which is responsible for specific mRNA codon recognition, and the 3' end, to which the tRNAs corresponding amino acid is attached (by aminoacyl-tRNA synthetases). tRNAs cope with the degeneracy of the genetic code in two manners: having more than one tRNA (with a specific anti-codon) for a particular amino acid; and 'wobble' base-pairing, i.e. permitting non-standard base-pairing at the 3rd anti-codon position.
Source: RNAcentral